AAGGAAUAUUGCUCAAUGGGAGAAAUCCUGAAGCAGCAACGCCGCGUGGAGGAUGAAGGGUCUAUGACUUGUAAACUCCUGUAAAGAAGGAAAAAAUUCCCAUUUGAUGGGAGAUGAUGGUACUUCUGGAGUAAGCCCCGGCUAACUACGUGCCAGCAGCCGCGGUAAUACGUAGGGGGCAAGCGUUGUCCGGAUUUACUGGGUGUAAAGGGCGCUCAGGCGGAUUUGUAAGUCAGAGGUGAAAUCUUACAGCUUAACUGUGAAACUGCCUUUGAUACUGCAAGCCUAGAGUAUGGAAGAGAGUGAUGGAAUAUCUGGUGUAGCAGUGAAAUGCGUAGAUAUCAGAUAGAACACCCAUGGCGAAGGCAGUCACUUGGUCCAUUACUGACGCUAAAGCACGAAAGCGUGGGUA
This 412-nucleotide ribosomal RNA is filed under the name uncultured bacterium. RNAcentral describes it as "bacterial SSU rRNA". It matches the Rfam family "Bacterial small subunit ribosomal RNA", at positions 356 to 767 of the family's 1533-position model. The record is from RNAcentral.